AAAGCAUUUAGUUUGACCCCCCGAAACUAAGCGAGCUACUUCAAAACAGCCUUUAGGGCCAACCCGUCUCUGUUGCAAAAGAGUGGGAAGAUUUUCAAGUAGAGGUGAUAGACCUACCGAGCUUAGAGAUAGCUGGUUAUUUAGGAAAAGGAUCUAAGUCCUACCUUAAGUUCUACAGUAACUAUUACUACAUCAACGAACUUAAGAGCUAUUCAAAUAAGGUACAGCCUAUUUGAAAUAGGAUACAACCUAAACUAUAGGGUAAUGUAAUCUAUUCUGUGAUCAAGUGGGCCUAAGAGCAGCCACCUUUCAAAAAGCGUUAAAGCUUAAUCACUAAAUUACUUAAAUUCCAAUAAUUUAUCAAAACCCUUUCCCAGUACUAAAUGACUCCAUAACUUUAUGGAAAACCAUAUGCUAGAACUAGUAACAAGAAGAAGACCUUCUCCAAAAUAUAAGUGUGAGCCGAAAUGAACAACUCACCGGCAUUUAACGUAAAUGAAUUUACAGUAGCAACCAAUACAAGAAAAUCCUACUCAUUAUUACGUCAACCUUACACCAGUAUAUUUAUGGAAAGAUUAAAAGAAGAGGAAGGAACUCGGCAAAUUAUUAACUCCGCCUGUUUACCAAAAACAUCGCCUCUUGAUAAAAUAUAAGAGGUCCAGCCUGCCCAGUGACAAAGUUAAACGGCCGCGGUACCCUAACCGUGCGAAGGUAGCGCAAUCACUUGUUCUUUAAAUAAGGACUAGUAUGAACGGCAUCACGAGAGUUAUACUGUCUCCCUCUUUCAAUCAGUGAAACUGACCUCCCCGUGAAGAGGCGGGGAUAUAAAUAUAAGACGAGAAGACCCCAUGGAGCUUUAAACUCAGUAUCAAUUACCCCAUUAUAUAUCAUUUUAACCCGGUAAAUUCUGACUACUAGUUUUCGGUUGGGGUGACCGCGGAGUAAAAUAAAACCUCCACGAUGAAAGGACCAACUCUCCUAAUCAAAGAGCGACAGCUCAAAGAAUCAACAAAUUGACAUAAUUGAUCCAAUUAAUUUUGAUCAACGAACCAAGUUACCCUGGGGAUAACAGCGCAAUCCACUUCAAGAGCUCCUAUCGACAAGUGGGUUUACGACCUCGAUGUUGGAUCAGGGUAUCCCAGUGGUGCAGCCGCUACUAAAGGU
Molecule: ribosomal RNA, 1164 nt
Filed under: Kaloula rugifera (Szechuan narrowmouth toad)
Lineage: Eukaryota; Metazoa; Chordata; Amphibia; Anura; Microhylidae
Description: partial 16S ribosomal RNA
Rfam family: Bacterial large subunit ribosomal RNA
Source: RNAcentral